ACUCGAGAACUGCUUAAAUGCUAGUCUGCGUUUAGCAGGCAACACUGUCAAAUUGCGGGAACACCCUAAAGACCUCAACACCAAGCGCUCACGGGAAACCGUGGCGUGGCCGAGCUAAUAGCCCUGGGUAUGGUAACAGUUUGAGGUAUGAAGCCCCUUUUGGGGCAGAAAUGGGCAAUCCGCAGCCAAGUCCUAACGCACUUCGGUGUUAUGGAUGCUGUUCACAGGCCAAAUGGUAGUGGGUGACUUUCGGGUUGCUUAAGAUAUGGUCGGGCCCCUUCAGAAAUGUCGGGGAUAAGUUUACGCAGUUACUCAGUGCUUGCAUUGGGUGACGAAGAACUCAUGUAGCGUAAAAACUGCGUUGAGUAAGAACAAACCGUUCCGUAGGUGAACCUGCGGAAGGAUCAUU
Molecule: ribosomal RNA, 409 nt
Filed under: Pyrenochaeta pinicola
Lineage: Eukaryota; Fungi; Ascomycota; Dothideomycetes; Pleosporales; Cucurbitariaceae
Description: partial 18S ribosomal RNA
Rfam family: Group I catalytic intron (bases 6-293)
About the family: Group I catalytic introns are large self-splicing ribozymes. They catalyse their own excision from mRNA, tRNA and rRNA precursors in a wide range of organisms. The core secondary structure consists of 9 paired regions (P1-P9).
Source: RNAcentral